This 378-nucleotide ribosomal RNA is filed under the name uncultured bacterium. Its description in RNAcentral is "bacterial SSU rRNA". It matches the Rfam family "Bacterial small subunit ribosomal RNA", at positions 521 to 896 of the family's 1533-position model. The record is from RNAcentral.
UAAUACGUAGGGGGCGAGCGUUGUCCGGAUUCAUUGGGCGUAAAGAGCUCGUAGGCGGCCCGCUAAGUCGGAUGUGAAAUCCCAAGGCUCAACCUUGGAACUGCAUUCGAUACUGUCGGGCUUGAGGCAGGUAGGGGAAGGUGGAAUUCCCGGUGUAGCGGUGGAAUGCGCAGAUAUCGGGAGGAACACCGGUGGCGAAGGCGGCCUUCUGGGCCUGUCCUGACGCUGAAGAGCGAAAGCGUGGGGAGCGAACAGGAUUAGAUACCCUGGUAGUCCACGCCGUAAACGAUGGGUGCUAGGUGUGGGGUCCUAUCCACGGAUCCCGCGCCGCAGCUAACGCGUUAAGCACCCCGCCUGGGGAGUACGGCCGCAAGGCUA